Molecule: ribosomal RNA, 459 nt
Filed under: uncultured bacterium
Lineage: Bacteria
Description: partial 16S ribosomal RNA
Rfam family: Bacterial small subunit ribosomal RNA
Source: RNAcentral
CUACGGGUUGCUGCAGUGAGGAAUAUUGGGCAAUGGAGGCAACUCUGACCCAGCCAUGCCGCGUGCAGGAAGACGGCCCUCUGGGUUGUAAACUGCUUUUGUUUGGGAAUAAACCCUUCUACGUGUAGAAGGCUGAAGGUACCUUACGAAUAAGGAUCGGCUAACUCCGUGCCAGCAGCCGCGGUAAUACGGAGGAUCCAAGCGUUAUCCGGAUUUUUUGGGUUUAAAGGGUCCGUAGGCGGAUCUUUAAGUCAGUGGUGAAAGCCCACAGCUCAACUGUGGAACUGCCAUUGAUACUGGAGAUCUUGAGUGUAGUAGAAGUAGGCGGAAUAGGGCAUGUAGCGGUGAAAUGCAUAGAUAUGCCCUAGAACACCGAUUGCGAAGGCAGCUUACUAUGUUACAACUGACGCUGAGGGACGAAAGCGUGGGGAGCAAACAGGAUUAGAUACCCUUGUAGUC